AUACUGCAAGUCGAGCGAAAGAAGGGAGCUUGCUCCCGGAUGUUAGCGGCGGACGGGUGAGUAACACGUGGGUAACCUGCCUGUAAGACUGGGAUAACUCCGGGAAACCGGAGCUAAUACCGGAUAGUUCCUUGAACCGCAUGGUUCAAGGAUGAAAGACGGUUUCGGCUGUCACUUACAGAUGGACCCGCGGCGCAUUAGCUAGUUGGUGGGGUAAUGGCUCACCAAGGCGACGAUGCGUAGCCGACCUGAGAGGGUGAUCGGCCACACUGGGACUGAGACACGGCCCAGACUCCUACGGGAGGCAGCAGUAGGGAAUCUUCCGCAAUGGACGAAAGUCUGACGGAGCAACGCCGCGUGAGUGAUGAAGGUUUUCGGAUCGUAAAGCUCUGUUGUUAGGGAAGAACAAGUGCGAGAGUAACUGCUCGCACCUUGACGGUACCUAACCAGAAAGCCACGGCUAACUACGUGCCAGCAGCCGCGGUAAUACGUAGGUGGCAAGCGUUGUCCGGAAUUAUUGGGCGUAAAGGGCUCGCAGGCGGUUUCUUAAGUCUGAUGUGAAAGCCCCCGGCUCAACCGGGGAGGGUCAUUGGAAACUGGGAAACUUGAGUGC
Molecule: ribosomal RNA, 613 nt
Filed under: Bacillus sp. CH112a
Lineage: Bacteria; Bacillati; Bacillota; Bacilli; Caryophanales; Bacillaceae
Description: bacterial SSU rRNA
Rfam family: Bacterial small subunit ribosomal RNA
Source: RNAcentral